UACGAAGGGGGCUAGCGUUGCUCGGAAUCACUGGGCGUAAAGCGCACGUAGGCGGAUUGCUAAGUCAGGGGUGAAAUCCUGGAGCUCAACUCCAGAACUGCCUUUGAUACUGGCAACCUUGAGUCCGGGAGAGGUGAGUGGAACUGCGAGUGUAGAGGUGAAAUUCGUAGAUAUUCGCAAGAACACCAGUGGCGAAGGCGGCUCACUGGCCCGGUACUGACGCUGAUGUGCGAAAGCGUGGGGAGCAAACAGG
Molecule: ribosomal RNA, 253 nt
Filed under: uncultured bacterium
Lineage: Bacteria
Description: partial 16S ribosomal RNA
Rfam family: Bacterial small subunit ribosomal RNA
Source: RNAcentral